Molecule: ribosomal RNA, 478 nt
Filed under: uncultured Glomeromycotina
Lineage: Eukaryota; Fungi; Glomeromycota
Description: SSU rRNA
Rfam family: Eukaryotic small subunit ribosomal RNA
Source: RNAcentral
AGCGUAUAUUAAAGUUGUUGCAGUUAAAAAGCUCGUAGUUGAAUUUCGGGGUUCUACCGUUGGUCGGGCUAACCAGUCUGUACUAGCGUGUAAAAUUCCUACCUUCUGGAGAACCAUCAUGUUAUUAAUUUAGCGUGGUGGGAAACCAGGACCUUUACCUUGAAAAAAUUAGAGUGUUCAAAGCAGGCUUACGUCUGAAUACAUUAGCAUGGAAUAAUAGAAUAGGACGGUGGUCCUGUUUUGUUGGUUUCUGAAUCACCGUAAUGAUUAAUAGGGAUAGUUGGGGGCAUUAGUAUUCAAUUGUCAGAGGUGAAAUUCUUGGAUUUAUUGAAGACUAACUUCUGCGGAAGCAUUUGCCAAGGAUGUUUUCAUUAAUCAAGAACGAAAGUUAGGGGAUCGAAGACGAUCAGAUACCGUCGUAGUCUUAACCAUAAACUAUGCCGACUAGGGAUCGGACGAUGUUAAAUUUUAUUGACUC